AUGGCUCGAGCAGAUUGGAAGUUGGUUUUUGUUGCACUGGUGUUGAUUGGAUUUGUGGCAGCACAGAAUGCUACCACUCCGAAACCAGGAGCUGCUACAACUGCUGCUCCUUCUACAGCACUGGGAGUGUUCGGUGGUCUUCUGAAAGCGUGCACUGACGUAAAAUUAGGCUUUGCAAAUGCCUUUCGAGACUUGCUUGGAUAAUGCAACCAAUGGAAUUCAAAUAUUUGUUAAUAUUAUAAAUUCAAAAAUUGUUAUGUCGUUAUAAUAAAUUUAUGUGUCAAGACUA
Molecule: long non-coding RNA, 289 nt
Organism: Hyposmocoma kahamanoa
Lineage: Eukaryota; Metazoa; Arthropoda; Insecta; Lepidoptera; Cosmopterigidae
Exons: 3
Source: RefSeq, a predicted model, not a curated record